CCCAGGGCUGACACUGGGCUACCAUAUCCCGUCCCUUCGGGACU
RNAcentral lists this small RNA (44 nucleotides) under Candidatus Vecturithrix granuli. Its description in RNAcentral is "Acido-Lenti-1 RNA". It matches the Rfam family "Acido-Lenti-1 RNA". Lineage: Bacteria; Candidatus Moduliflexota; Candidatus Vecturitrichia; Candidatus Vecturitrichales; Candidatus Vecturitrichaceae. The record is from Rfam by way of RNAcentral.